GUUCAUUAGAGGAAUUACAAGGAGCAGCAGAUGAGGCUGAAGAUUUUCUAAGCUUGGCUGGCUAAAUCACCAACAUUAAUUCUGUUGAUAAGAAGAAUCAAUUAGUUUCAAGUGCUGUGAGGUUCUAUGUUUUAGACAGAACUAGAUCAGCCUUUGAAAGAUUACUUUCUGGGCUUGAAACUUUAGGUGUCCUGAACACUAUAAAAGAAAACCCUGUUGCCUGUAGAAAGGCUUUCAUUCACAGUGAGGAAUCAGAGUUGACAUCAGAAAGAUUAAAGACAAUAUUCCAUGUGGACUUCAUUGAGAAGGGCAGUAAUAAAAGAAGCACUGAAGAAGUUGUGCUGUCACAGUUUUUUGAUUAUCUUAUAGAUGUUGAAGAGGGAGAAACGAAAUGCACAUUACGUGAUAUUUUGGUAUUUACGAGUGGAGCAUCGAGUAUACCAAUUACCAGUUUCACUGAGAUGCCAGAAAUUACAUUCCUGCACAGUGCUGACAAUUAUCCAACAGCCAACACAUGUUCUAUAGUCCUUAGACUUCCAACAGUUCACAAAGAGUAUGAGGCAUUCAAAGAAGCAAUGGAUUUUGCUAUAUUAAAUUCGCAGUCUUUCGGUACAUCAUAGGCAAUAAUCACUCCACAGGGCCACCAACAGUAAUAGCACAUUAUGAUCAAACCGUGCAGUCAGCUAUGUUCGUAUUGUAGUUGAAUUAUUGUAUUGUUGUAGUAAUAACUUUUAUAGGCAGCAUAUACAUUUUGUAUACCAUACCAUAAUUACUGUAUUUUAGUUCUGUAGUUUAUUGUUUGUAAUGAUUAUUGGCAUUGGUGAAUGUUAUUGAUUUUUCUUCUUUUAGUAAAUCUAAUAAUUUGUUGAAUCACAUAGAUGUUUAGGAAACUGUAAUACAAAUGUAACUUGGCUCUUAAAUGAAUCUGACUUGCAAACAAUAUAAAUAACCGUGCCAAGAUUUAUACGGAUGGGGAUCGUAUUUCAAUAUUUACUAUGUAUACUUUGAUGAUAAAAACAGUCUACAUGUUGUUGCAAUUGAGGACUUGGUGGGUUUAUUAUUAUUUGCCGUAAAGUUUUGCUCAUAAGUUAAUUUUAAGUACAUACAACAAAAUUGAGAAGUAAAUAUAACUUUCCAACUUUAAGCUUUUCAAAUUGUAUGUUUAUAGUUAUUUACUGUUAAAGAAAGUUUCUUGGACUUAUUCAAGCAUUUACAUUAUUUUAUACAGUAUUAGUUGAAGAUUUAUUGUCACACUAAAUAUUAAGAAAAAAAAAGUAUCAUAAAUGUUAUUAACUUUAGCCAAAAAUCAUUUACCU
Long non-coding RNA from Anneissia japonica, 1316 nucleotides. RefSeq lists it as uncharacterized. NCBI's taxonomy places the organism in Eukaryota, Metazoa, Echinodermata, Crinoidea, Comatulida, Comatulidae. The transcript is spliced from 3 exons. The record is from RefSeq and is a predicted model, not a curated record.